Molecule: ribosomal RNA, 1352 nt
Filed under: uncultured bacterium
Lineage: Bacteria
Description: bacterial SSU rRNA
Rfam family: Bacterial small subunit ribosomal RNA
Source: RNAcentral
AUUGAACGCUGUCGGCAUGCCUUACACAUGCAAGUCGAACGGUAACGGGUCCUUCGGGAUGCCGACGAGUGGCGAACGGGUGAGUAAUAUAUCGGAACGUGCCCAGUAGUGGGGGAUAACUGCUCGAAAGAGCAGCUAAUACCGCAUACGACCUGAGGGUGAAAGGGGGGGAUCGCAAGACCUCUCGCUAUUGGAGCGGCCGAUAUCAGAUUAGCUAGUUGGUGGGGUAAAGGCCUACCAAGGCAACGAUCUGUAGUUGGUCUGAGAGGACGACCAGCCACACUGGGACUGAGACACGGCCCAGACUCCUACGGGAGGCAGCAGUGGGGAAUUUUGGACAAUGGGCGCAAGCCUGAUCCAGCAAUGCCGCGUGCAGGAAGAAGGCCUUCGGGUUGUAAACUGCUUUUGUCAGGGAAGAAAUCUUCUGGGCUAAUACCCCGGGAGGAUGACGGUACCUGAAGAAUAAGCACCGGCUAACUACGUGCCAGCAGCCGCGGUAAUACGUAGGGUGCGAGCGUUAAUCGGAAUUACUGGGCGUAAAGCGUGCGCAGGCGGCUUUGCAAGACAGAUGUGAAAUCCCCGGGCUCAACCUGGGAACUGCAUUUGUGACUGCAAGGCUAGAGUACGGCAGAGGGGGAUGGAAUUCCGCGUGUAGCAGUGAAAUGCGUAGAUAUGCGGAGGAACACCAAUGGCGAAGGCAAUCCCCUGGGCCUGUACUGACGCUCAUGCACGAAAGCGUGGGGAGCAAACAGGAUUAGAUACCCUGGUAGUCCACGCCCUAAACGAUGUCAACUGGUUGUUGGACGGCUUGCUGUUCAGUAACGAAGCUAACGCGUGAAGUUGACCGCCUGGGGAGUACGGCCGCAAGGUUGAAACCCAAAGGAAUUGACGGGGACCCGCACAAGCGGUGGAUGAUGUGGUUUAAUUCGAUGCAACGCGAAAAACCUUACCUACCCUUGACAUGUCAAGAAUUCUGCAGAGAUGUGGAAGUGCUCGAAAGAGAACUUGAACACAGGUGCUGCAUGGCCGUCGUCAGCUCGUGUCGUGAGAUGUUGGGUUAAGUCCCGCAACGAGCGCAACCCUUGUCAUUAGUUGCUACGCAAGAGCACUCUAAUGAGACUGCCGGUGACAAACCGGAGGAAGGUGGGGAUGACGUCAGGUCCUCAUGGCCCUUAUGGGUAGGGCUACACACGUCAUACAAUGGCCGGUACAGAGGGCUGCCAACCCGCGAGGGGGAGCCAAUCCCAGAAAACCGGUCGUAGUCCGGAUCGUAGUCUGCAACUCGACUGCGUGAAGUCGGAAUCGCUAGUAAUCGCGGAUCAGCUUGCCGCGGUGAAUACGUUCCCGGGUCU